This 441-nucleotide ribosomal RNA is filed under the name uncultured bacterium. RNAcentral describes it as "partial 16S ribosomal RNA". It matches the Rfam family "Bacterial small subunit ribosomal RNA", at positions 338 to 795 of the family's 1533-position model. The record is from RNAcentral.
CCUACGGGGGGCAGCAGUGGGGGAUAUUGCACAAUGGGGGGAACCCUGAUGCAGCGACGCCGCGUGGGUGAAGGAGUAUUUCGGUAUGUAAAGCCCUAUCGGCAGGGAAGAAGCAAGACGGUACCUGACUAAGAAGCCCCGGCUAACUACGUGCCAGCAGCCGCGGUAAUACGUAGGGGGCGAGCGUUAUCCGGAUUCACUGGGUGUAAAGGGAGCGUAGACGGGCAUGCAAGCCAGGGGUGAAAGCCCGGGGCCCAACCCCGGGACUGCCCUUGGAACUGCAUGGCUGGAGUGCGGGAGGGGCAGGCGGAAUUCCUGGUGUAGCGGUGAAAAGCGUAGAUAACAGGAGGAACACCGGCGGCGAAGGCGGCCUGCUGGACCGCGACUGACGUUGAGGCUCGAAAGCGUGGGGAGCGAACAGGAUUAGAUACCCCUGUAGUC